This 484-nucleotide ribosomal RNA is filed under the name uncultured bacterium. Its description in RNAcentral is "partial 16S ribosomal RNA". It matches the Rfam family "Bacterial small subunit ribosomal RNA", at positions 30 to 507 of the family's 1533-position model. The record is from RNAcentral.
AUUGAACGCUGGUGGCAGGCCUAACACAUGCAAGUCGAGCGGAUGAGGGGAGCUUGCUCCCUGAUUUAGCGGCGGACGGGUGAGUAAUGCCUAGGAAUCUGCCUGGUAGUGGGGGAUAACGUUCCGAAAGGAACGCUAAUACCGCAUACGUCCUACGGGAGAAAGCAGGGGACCUUCGGGCCUUGCGCUAUCAGAUGAGCCUAGGUCGGAUUAGCUAGUUGGUGAGGUAAUGGCUCACCAAGGCGACGAUCCGUAACUGGUCUGAGAGGAUGAUCAGUCACACUGGAACUGAGACACGGUCCAGACUCCUACGGGAGGCAGCAGUGGGGAAUAUUGGACAAUGGGCGAAAGCCUGAUCCAGCCAUGCCGCGUGUGUGAAGAAGGUCUUCGGAUUGUAAAGCACUUUAAGUUGGGAGGAAGGGCUGCUGGUUAAUACCCUGCAGUUUUGACGUUACCAACAGAAUAAGCACCGGCUAACUUCGUG